Alligator mississippiensis (American alligator) is the source of this 411-nucleotide long non-coding RNA. RefSeq lists it as uncharacterized. Lineage: Eukaryota; Metazoa; Chordata; Crocodylia; Alligatoridae. The record is from RefSeq and is a predicted model, not a curated record. The transcript has 4 exons.
UGACGAUCUGAAUGUGUGACUACUCCAAACUUAAGCUAGCGCUGACACCCAUCAACCUUUGUGUGGCUCAUGAUAUAAGGUGCUGCUGGAGAAUGGAUUGGUGCAGAGCUCUGUUCUCAGCAUGAAUCAAUGUAGGCCUCAAUAAGAGCUUGAGUCAUAAAACUUGGUGACCAGAAAGCAGCAUGGUUUAAGUGGAACUGCUGGGACUUUUAUGAGUGCUAGCUUCUUGGAAGACCAACAAAUGGAAAACAAUGGCCUAUGCAGAGACCACCCAAACUGAGGGAGCCUGAUGUACUAGUGCUAUGUCAACCUGAUCACAGCUGACAGCGGUUCAGCCACUGAUAACCCCUGCUACUGAUUUUGGUGCUGAUGAAGUGAAGUUCUGCAUUAGAGGCCUUCUGAGUUCAUGAG